AACGCACCUUGCGCUCCUUGGUAUUCCGAGGAGCAUGCCUGUUUGAGUGUCAUUAAAUUCUCAACCAUUCUGAUUUAUUUUGGAAUGGCUUGGAUGUGGGGGUUUUGCAGGCUUUCUUCGAUGAAGGUCAGCUCUCCUGAAAUACAUUAGCGGUACCCUUGUGGAAUCGUCUAUUGGUGUGAUAAUUAUCAACGCCGUGGACAUCUACUAAUUGCUGCUUCUAACUGUCCAUCUGGACAAAUCAUAAUGACAAUUUUGACCUCAAAUCAGGUAGGACUACCCGCUGAACUUAA
This 293-nucleotide unclassified non-coding RNA is filed under the name uncultured fungus. RNAcentral describes it as "sequence contains ITS2". The stretch from base 1 to 52 matches the Rfam family "5.8S ribosomal RNA", at positions 103 to 154 of the family's 154-position model. The record is from RNAcentral. Lineage: Eukaryota; Fungi.